Molecule: ribosomal RNA, 468 nt
Filed under: uncultured bacterium
Lineage: Bacteria
Description: partial 16S ribosomal RNA
Rfam family: Bacterial small subunit ribosomal RNA
Source: RNAcentral
GACGAACGCUGGCGGCGUGCUUAACACAUGCAAGUCGAACGGAAAGGCCCUGCUUUUGUGGGGUUCUCGAUUGGCGAACGGGUGAGUAACACGUGUGUAACCUGCCCUUUACUUUUGGAUAACUUCAGGAAACUGGGGCUAAUACCGGAUAGGAUCUCCUGCUGCAUGGUGGGGGUUGGAAAUUUUCGGCGGUUGGGGAUGGACUGGCGGCUUAUCAGCUUGUUGGUGGGGUAGUGGCUUACCAAGGCUUUGACGGGUAGCCGGCCUGAGAGGGUGACCGGCAACAUUGGGACUGAGAUACGGCCCAGACUACUACGGGAGGCAGCAGGGGGGAAUAUUGCAAAAUGGGCGGAAGCCUGAUGCAGCAACGCAGCGUGCGGGAUGACGGCCUUCGGGUUGUAAACCGAUUUCGACUGUGACGAAGCGUGAGUGACGGUAAUGGGUAAAGAAGCACCGGCUAACUACGUG